CAACAGACUACCAUUCAGCUUCACAUCUUCUUCCCGUAUCUCCGAUUGCUAAUCAAACAACUCAACUUAACACAAAACAUAUAUGGAACGUACACAAUCAAUAUAUACGCGGGCCAUAUUCGAAUACAGAUAUAUAGUUUCCAACCCGCAUGAUUCAUUACUCGCAAUCAAACUCUGCUAAAUCAAUUGAAAUCGAUAUUGAACUCUCAAACGUUGCUUCUUUUUUUUUUUUCAGCCGCCCCUUUUUCUUUUGCUAGUAUAAAACCAACACCUUUUUUUUCUUCACCUGAGCAGCCAUGGCUGCUGCCGCAGUUGUUUGAAACGCUGCCACACCGUUGCCAAGCUCCAACACCACCGUUGAUUACCAACCUGAUGUCUCUUCCUCAUCCAAGCAACCGCGUUGCCGCGACACCACGACCCAGCCACCCUCUCUGAAACCCCAACUGUCUCUCAGUCCCUACCUCCAUCUCCUUUAUCUCUCUCGAGUCACCAUCCUCUCUCUACGGCAGCCUCGACUCAACCAUUCCCCCUACAAUUCUUCCCACCGAACUCUAAUUCCCUCAAUCCCCAAUUCGUAUGUGCUGAUGUUAUACUCUCUACCCCCUCAAUCCAAUACCGUAAUACUCUAGUUUGUUUGAACCCGACUAAUAAGCAUGUUAAAUGUUUUUUUUAUAGUAUUUAAUCUAAUUUUUAUUUUAUUUAAAUUGUAAUCAAAUAACGUUUGAUUAACCGUCGUCUAACGGAAUUUUAUAAUUGGGAAGAAGUCAAUAAUUCAGUGUUAGUGUUUGGAAGACGAAAAUAUGGAUGGUACCACCUGGAAAAACCAAAUCUACACUGGUACCAUUAGGAAUUUUCCUCCUUUAUUUCAUUCUCAUCGGUCAAUUGAUUUCAAUUAAAUAUACUCCCUCUGUCCCUCUCAUUUGUUUACAGUUACUAUUUUGAGACGUCCCUCUCAUUUCUUUACGUUAUUAUAAAUAGUAAGUUUUUCCCAUCAUUCCACCAACUAUCUGCCCCCACUAUCUCAUAUUUAACAAUAAAAACUACUAUUACACCCACUACUUUCCUCCACUAUCUCAAAUCUAUUAUUAAAUAUUGAUAGGUCCCACCACUUUACCCACUUUUCAUCUAACUUUACUCCUUUUUUAUACAUUAUCUUGGUAUCCGUGUCCCCCUCCAAUGUAAACAAUUGAGGGGGACGGAGGGAGUAAGUUUAAAAAAAUAAUCGAUUCUGUUAACUAUUACUCCCUCUGUCCCAUUUGAUUCUAUACGUUUCUUUGUUAACUGCUCGACACGCAUUUCAAUGCUC
RNAcentral lists this long non-coding RNA (1306 nucleotides) under Daucus carota (carrot). RNAcentral's name for it is "long non-coding RNA (DCAR_LNC004375)". Lineage: Eukaryota; Viridiplantae; Streptophyta; Magnoliopsida; Apiales; Apiaceae. The record is from RNAcentral.